UACGUAGGGGGCAAGCGUUGUCCGGAUUUAUUGGGCGUAAAGAGUGUGUAGGCGGUUUGGUAGGUCCGCUGUGAAAACUCGAGGCUCAACCUCGAGACGCCGGUGGAAACCAUCAGACUAGAGUCCGGAAGAGGAGAGUGGAAUUCCUGGUGUAGCGGUGAAAUGCGCAGAUAUCAGGAAGAACACCCGUGGCUAAGGCGGCUCUCUAGUACGGUACUGACGCUGAGACGCGAAAGCGAGGGGAGCGAACAGG
RNAcentral lists this ribosomal RNA (253 nucleotides) under uncultured bacterium. Its description in RNAcentral is "partial 16S ribosomal RNA". It matches the Rfam family "Bacterial small subunit ribosomal RNA", at positions 524 to 776 of the family's 1533-position model. The record is from RNAcentral.